This 2999-nucleotide long non-coding RNA is filed under the name Sarcophilus harrisii (Tasmanian devil). RNAcentral describes it as "lncRNA (ENSSHAG00000029875.1)". The record is from RNAcentral. Lineage: Eukaryota; Metazoa; Chordata; Mammalia; Dasyuromorphia; Dasyuridae.
CAUUCCGCAGGAGCCACCUCCACAGGCCUGGAACACGGCCCCCACGUCCGCCUGGGGCAGCCACGCUCCGCCCGCAUCCUCCAGCCUUCCUCCUGCCUGAAAACACAGUGGGAAAGUCCCCCCGGGCCCUUGCCCCACCCCCAGAGGGGAUGCCGAUCGUGUCACUGCCGGGGCCAGAGCCAGGCCCUCUUUGAGGAUGGAGGGAAGAGGAGCUUCCGGGCAGGUGGAGGAACAACUGGCUGGUCAGUGAGGUCAGUCGGCAGAGGGAGGCCCGAACCCCGAACCCGGCCUGGCUUUUCCAAAGUGCUGGAGAAAGGGGUCUGGGAGCCUGGAAACUAUGGAGCAAGCAGAGGGGUCGUGACGGUCAGCAAGGCGGGGCCGAGAGCCAGCAGUGGAAGGUGCCAUAUCAGGGGCGGCCCCAGGGGGUGGCCCGCUGCCUCUGGAGGCCCCACCUCUGGGGUGGGCAGCCCCGGGGAUCCAGGUAGAAGGGGGCUGACCCCCUGCUGGGAGCUGAGGAGGCUGGGCCAGGCCAGAGGUCUCCCAGGUCCUUCUGAGGGAGACGCUGCGAUGGUGACGUCAAAUCCAACCCCUGCCCCCCCCACCCUCCGCUCCUACAGAGCAUUAGCCAGGACCCAGAGACCUUUGACCUUUCGUGCUUCUCUUUACCCACAACUCCCCUGUCCGAGCCAGGCCAACUACGCCCAUUCCCCCCAGAGCAGGGGCCAUGGCUGGGGGGAGGAGAGGGAGGGUUCAUGCCUUCAGCCUCUCCCUCCUCCAGCUGCUGCAAAUCACGGCUGCCACAUUCGAUAAUGGUUAAGCUGCUCUUUGCUUAUUGACUCCUGAUUGAUUUUCCCUCCGUGGGUCAGUCAGCGGCUGAGAUCAAAGGUGGGUCAUGGUCUCAAGGGGCAAACGCGCGGCCUCCUGACGAGCCGCUGCCCUUUGCCGGGGAAGCCCUGAUGGAAAGAGGGCAGCCCGCCAAGGGGUCCGGGGGGGCUGGGCCAGAACCUGUCAUUCGUUGCUCAUUCAUUUGUCAAUUCAGUCAUUGAUUUGUUCAUCAAUCGAUCUGAUCAAUUAUUCAUUCAAAUCCAUCACGGUUGAGUCAUUGGGUCACGUCCAAACGCAGAUCCUUCGAGUUUCAGAACGCCCCGAUGUUCUCCGUGCCCAUUUCUGUCCCGUGUGGCCCUUGCAGGGACCGAGCAGACCCAGAGGAGCCAGAGCAUCUAUUGAGCUAAAGGCAGGCAAUGAGCUAGAACCGGCCUGGGGAGGGAGAUGUCCAAGGUCACCCGAGCAGGAACGGGGAGAACUGGGGACGUUCCAGCGGGCAGGUGUUGGCCCGAGCUUGCACCCAUCCCUGCGCCCCAGGGACUUGUUCCCCGGGCAAGCGCCCACUGAGCGUCCCCGGGUUUCGCCCCUGGGCUGAGCCCUAGGAGAGACCCAGGACCUGGGCCCUUCCUCGGAGAGCCGCCGGCUGGUUGUGGGAGCAGGAGAGAGAGACGGGCUUAGAACCAAUGCAGAGGAGCCUGCAAGAGGGAGCCGUGGAGUCCAGGUGGCGGCUUCCUGGAAGGGGCAGCUUUUAAAAAUUACUUUAACUGGGGUUGCCUUUAAUGUAAGCAUUGUGAGCGUCUGGUGCUGAGGGAGCAGAGCCGGGAGGCCCCGGCCCUGGCAGCAGCCAGUCACCCGGUGACCGAUUCUGCCUGGCGGCUCUUGUCAACCACACGCUUCGGGCCAGUCCCAGUGACUUGUGAUCCGGCCCAGAGAGAGGCGGGGGCCGAGGGGGGACCGAGCGGGGACUGAGCGGGACCCCCGCGGCUCACCGGCCCUGCUGCCCCCGCUCGCUUAUUGUUCCUUUCUCAGCUUUUCUCCUUUCUGACUGAUCUCCUCGUGCAGCGAGAUGACGUGUGCGUGCAUGUGCAUGUGUUGGGCUUAGUAUGUUCUCACUGUAUUUAACAUGCAAUCGGUUACUUGCCACCUGGGGGAGGGGGGUGGAACACAAGGGUUUACCAGGGUCAAGGUCGAAAAAUUAUCCAUGCGGAGGUUUUGAAAAAAAGCUUCUGAGGCAGUGGGGGGGGGGGGUGCAGUGGGCAGAGCAGCAGCCCCGAAGUCAGGGGGACCCGAGUUCAAAUAAGAUCUCAGACACCUGAUAGUUCCCAGCUGUGGGACCCUAGGCAAGUCACUUAGCCUGGAAAGAAAGAAAAAGGAAGGAAGGGAGGCAGGGAGAGGCAGGGGGGGUGUUGGCAGGAAGUGGUCAGUGGGUUGUUCUGCCAAAGGAUCCCACUAGACAAAUACUGAGGGUGUGCUAGGUACAGGCCCUGGGCUGGACAGAUGGGGAAACUGAGGCCCAGGGGGGAGGGAACCUAGCCAGAGGGGCAGAGCCCAGAGGCUUGGAGUGGUGGAGGGUGUUGCCCUCAAGGCCUUCUCCUCCCACACUUGAUCCUUGUCUGACCCAGGACUGUGCUGAGCCCCCCGGCGUGUCCCCCAGAACAAGGACCCCUUGUUCCCAGCCGGAGCCCGCGCCUCUGCCUGAUGUCAUGUCUCAGCUGUGGUGGCGGAUAGUGCUCCCCAUUGUCCGGGGCUGCCGGGGGGGGCACAGCCUGGGGGGUCUCGCAGGCCCAAGAGGGGGUGAGGAAGGGGAUGCAGGGAGCAGGUCAGGGGCCCUGUGGGUCCGAAGCACCGCGGAGACCGUCCCGCCCUGCUCCUUCUGUGGGACUUGUGAGUGUGAGCGUGAGUGUGUGUGUGUGAUUGUGUGUUUGUAUGUGUAAUUCCAUGCCCCCUGGUCCGCACCCUCGGCCCCUGCCUCUCGUGGUUGGCCUGGGCGGGGUCCGAGGGAGCGGGGCCGGUUCUGCUGACCCUUUGCUCCCUCGUAUUUCCUUUAGUGCUUUGACUGGUGCUGUGGGGGUGGGGCUGGCGCCGGGCGGGGAAGGGGGGGCGAGCCUAGAGGCUUUGGGGGCCAGUGACGGGCCCUGAGCCCAGGGAGACACUCCCGGUCCCCCUGAGGAAGU